CGGACUUUCACCUGCGGACUGGCCCAAAAUUUUUGACAGCAGUCCGCAGUUUCUCCACAGGGUAGCUGUCCGCAGUCCGCGUAUUAUACGGGGAUACAGCAUUCCAUAUAGACAUGUCUAUGCGUUGGUAAGGCAGAAAAUUGGACAAGACAGAUCAACCUUAUUUUUGUCAUGCAUUGGCUGUUGUUCGAUAACUGUUGCUUUUUAAAAAUAUGUAUGCAUGCAACAAUUCCAAUGAAUAAAAAUUAAAAUGCGGACAGCUCUUAGCAGCUGACUAUUUUAUUUAUUUUUUUCCUAUAGAUCUUAUUGCAAUUCAAAAGUACGCGACAAGCCAAAAGUCGUGCGCAGCUUACGCCGAUGCGCACCACUGUGGCCUAUAGCCGAACUAAAAAUUGUUUUAUGCUUGACUAUAACCAUAUGUCAUGACCAUGAGUGCGAUCUGUCUGCUUAACGGUAAAGCAUCGUACGAAUGGUUAUAGUCAAGCAUAAACAACACAGUCUCAGUGACUCGAGUCCAACCUCGGACCUUUUCAGCUUUGAAAGUUAGGUCCAAGGUUGGACUCGAGUCUUCACUACUGUUAUCGUCGGAUAACCGCUAGGGGGGGACGUUAGAAAAUCCGUCAAGCAAUUUUCACGCCAUUAUCGUGAUAUUAUUGUUUUUAAACGAUUAAUCGAAAUUCCAGGGAUGUAAUUAAUCAAUGUUAAUGAUAUAUUUUGUGGGUGGAAUUUUAAGGGCUUCAAGCUUGUGAUUUAACAUUAGCUUUCCCUUUCAUAUAAAAUUUCAGAAAAGUCGUUUGGUACUACCGUUUAGUUCCACCCGAUUUGUUAUUGUUUGUCAGUGGUUUCUCAAAACAUUGAAAUUCAAAAUUGUGUGGUUUUUUUUUUUUGCUAAUCUGGGACAUUGUUUCAACAUAAAAGAACUGAGAUGGAGGAAGACGAGGAAUCGCGAUCUCGUAAAUUAGUGAAAGAAUUUUUAGCAAGUUUAAAGAAAAGCGAAAAUUCCCGGAAGAAUAAGGAAAGACGAGAAUCUAAACGAAAGGAAGCUGGAUAUCCAAGCAAACGACCAAAAUGCUUUGUAAAAUUGGACGGUGUUAAGGUGAAAUUGACAAUAAAUAUGAAGAAAGGUAGUGGAUACCAAACAGAGGCUGGAUGCUGAGCAACUGUCAGGUGUCAAAAUACUAGCAAUUUAUAAUAAUUACAAUUCAAAUUCAAAUUCUCACAUUUCAAUUCUCAAAUUACAAUUCUCACAUUACAAUUCUCAAAUUGCAAUUCUCACCUCAAAUUUAAUCUCCUCUCAUGGAAUUUACUCCACAACAAAGUGCUUCAACAUCCCGUCUGAAAUUAUGCAAAGAGUAUUUCCCAAUGUCCCCUGAUAUUUUCCUAAUUCACCUGUCCGAUGUUAAAAGUGAAGCCAUAAUUGUUUAUAUUCCUCACAGUCGGACUAAGUGUUCCGAAGAAGAACUCUGCAACAAAGGGAAGAAAAUGUGGGAAGAAAAGAACAAAGUUGAGGCCCAGAGAGCUACAAUUGUCAAGCAACCUGCACUCCUGCAGCAAUCAAACGUGUAGACUGUUUUUAAAAGUAUUGAUUAUUGGAAUGUCAUGAUGCAAAUACAUUUCAAAUUUUAAAACAA
This 1631-nucleotide long non-coding RNA is filed under the name Daphnia magna. RNAcentral's name for it is "uncharacterized LOC123472213". Lineage: Eukaryota; Metazoa; Arthropoda; Branchiopoda; Diplostraca; Daphniidae. The record is from RNAcentral.